RNAcentral lists this ribosomal RNA (216 nucleotides) under uncultured bacterium. RNAcentral's name for it is "partial 16S ribosomal RNA". It matches the Rfam family "Bacterial small subunit ribosomal RNA", at positions 524 to 739 of the family's 1533-position model. The record is from RNAcentral.
UACGUAGGGCGCGAGCGUGUCCGGAUUUAUUGGGCGUAAAGAGCUCGUAGGCGGUCUGUCGCGUCGCUGUGAAAACUCGGGGCUCAACCCCGAGCCUGCAGUCGAUACGGGCAGACUAGAGUGCUGUAGGGGAGACUGGAAUUCCUGGUGUAGCGGUGAAAUGCGCAGAUAUCAGGAGGAACCACCGGUGGCGAAGGCGGGUCGCUGGGCCAGUAA